UGAACAUAUGAUGUGAGAUUAUUACUGUC
RNAcentral lists this small RNA (29 nucleotides) under Bombyx mori (domestic silkworm). RNAcentral describes it as "ovarian small RNA-30695". The record is from RNAcentral. Lineage: Eukaryota; Metazoa; Arthropoda; Insecta; Lepidoptera; Bombycidae.